RNAcentral lists this long non-coding RNA (420 nucleotides) under Prunus persica (peach). Its description in RNAcentral is "long non-coding RNA (PPER_LNC000217)". Lineage: Eukaryota; Viridiplantae; Streptophyta; Magnoliopsida; Rosales; Rosaceae. The record is from RNAcentral.
AACUCCAUACCACUCAAAAUCAAUCCUCAACCAUGAUAAAAAUACAAAGAAUGACUCCAUCUCAUGAUCUCAAUAAUGGUUGCAAGUCCUGACAUUCAAAGCUGCCAACAUUUAAACAAACAAACCAUAUAUGUGAGAGAGAGAGAGAGAGAGAGAGAGAGAGAGAGAGAGAGAGAGAGAGAGAGAGGCAUGGAAUCAUCAGCAGAAUAUUUAAAUUAUUAUUCAAUAAAACUCAUUUAAACAAGAAACAAAACAAAACUCUGAAGAUGUAAAUUACAUUGAUUCUUUACACCCUACCCAGCUCCCAACAAGCAAACAAUUGUUACACAUUCUAAACAGAAGAUAGAGAAGCCAAUCUGUGUCUUCCAAUUGCAUACCUCAAGUUGUUCGUGAAGCCUGCACCCACAAUGCUUCAGUGAU